UAGACCUCGGCACUGAAGCCGGGACGGCAGGGCUCGGGUUCUGCCUCCUGGCAGAGCAACGAUGAGACCUGGGGUGGAGAAAAGGCAGCACUCAGCCCCGCGUCGCGCAGCCUCCAGCUGGCCCUCUGCACCCCAACUUUCUUAGAAGAAGGAAAUCAGGACGGCAGCAGGCAGCAAAGAUCAACGAAGGGAGUGGUGGGGCCGAAAGGUGUCCUGCUGGAAGUCAGGACCCUCCAAGUACCUGCAGCAGAAGUAGAAUCGCGGAGAAGCAGCGGCACGGGGCUCCCAUGGCUGGCCGGGCGGGCGCCGAGCAAACACGGAGCUCGGGUGCGGUCAGGCAGGGACGGGUUAGGCCGGGCUGGAGUCUAGCAGAACUUCCCAAGAGCUCACGACCACACCGCUGCUCCCCUCUCCACUGAGCCAGGCAGAGGCUGUGGCCGCCAGGUGAGCCUAAAGGCACCGCCCCCGGCCCCACUGAUUGGCUGAGGACGCACCUGCAGGUGGCAGCCAAGGAACCGCACGGCCCUUGACUUCCUCCACCCUUAACUGUAGUUGGUGGCAUGGCCAGAGACUUCCUUGCUUCCUAGAACACGCUCUUUAGAAUCUCAGCCCAACCGUGCUCUGGCCCACUGAAACUUUGAGUUAUAAAGAACUUUACAUCUAC
This is a long non-coding RNA of Myodes glareolus (Bank vole), 664 nucleotides long. RefSeq lists it as uncharacterized. The record is from RefSeq and is a predicted model, not a curated record. NCBI's taxonomy places the organism in Eukaryota, Metazoa, Chordata, Mammalia, Rodentia, Cricetidae.